Long non-coding RNA from Calidris pugnax (ruff), 3145 nucleotides. RefSeq lists it as uncharacterized. The transcript has 2 exons. Lineage: Eukaryota; Metazoa; Chordata; Aves; Charadriiformes; Scolopacidae. The record is from RefSeq and is a predicted model, not a curated record.
UGGGACUUUGAGCAACCUGGUCUGCUGGGAGGUGUCCCUGCCCAGGGAAAGGGGUGUUGGAACUCAAUGAUCUUUAAGGUCCGUACCAACCCAAACCAUUCUGUGAUUCUAUGAAAUGUUGAGGAGAUCUGAGGUGACCAGGUUGUCAGCUGGGGUGAAGUGCGCUCCGCUGAGCUGCCAUAGCUGGAACCUAGCUCUGCUCCUUUCCAUUGUGCUCGCCCAUGGGCAAGGUUAAUGGAGCUGUAGGCUGCCGUUAUCUGUGUAUUCAUUGUCACUCUUGCCAUUGUCAGCCUCAGCUUUAGUGAGGAGGAGCCACAUGAGCCUGGCUGCCAAGGUGUUACAGUUCAGUGAGGAGGCAGAUUCCUUAAACUCCUUGUGAAGACUGACUGAUAGUUUAAAAAAAAAAUAAAUUAACUGUAAACGUGCAUCACAUGAGACACUCUCUGAGCCCUGACAGUUUUGUCAUUGCACUUUUCGUUUACCCUUGGUCCUUGAACAGCAGCGAGUCUUUGAAACCGUGACCCGUUUGCCCGAGGACACAGCGGCAGAGCGUGGAGCCCAGGUAGGAGGCAUAAAGCAAGGAAAUGUGGGAGUUGAUUAAGUCCUUACAAGACAAUUUGCAGCUGCGUCUAUAUCUGUCUUUCUUCAGGUGGGUUUGUGUUUGAAUUGGGGUUUUUCACUAGUCAUAAAGUGAGUAUACUUUGGCAGCGUGAGGUCUUCAGCUGAGUUAGUAAUCGAGGCUGGACCUGUGCCCAUCGAUGCGGUCUCUGCCGCUCUUGCUGGAGCCACAGGAGUGCGGGGAGCUGGUUUUGUAGAAGAGCCAGUGUCAGACCAGGAGUCACCCCACAGGGAUUUGUGUCAAGGAUUUUGGGGUUUAAACCCCAAAGGUGUUUGCAGUAGGUGAUCUAAAGGGAAUAGCAGCCCUUCGGUUUGCAUACAGAGUAUCGGGCUCUGCUGGCCCGUUGUUCCUCCUGUGUCUGAGAGCCUUCAUCCCCACCAUUAGGCACAGCAUUCCUCGGGCUGGUGACUGCUCCGGUGACGAAUGGCUUUCCUUCCAUAUAGACAUCCAAAGGGUAUAUUUGAGACAUAGUCUGUAACAACGGGUCACGCCUUUGCUGCAGCUUAUUGUCAGUCUUUCUAUAAAGCACUGAGAAAGCCUCUCUGUGAGUGAACACCAUUUUGCUUUAGGCGCUUGAAUAAAAAUAUAAUUAAGAAAAAAGACUUUUCUUUAUAUGCAGUGCAUGCUGGCUUUGCUUUUAAAAUGAUGAACUUAACAGAGUAUGUGGAUCUAUUUUCUUGGGGAAUAGGGGGUUUUAUCGUAGGAUUCAUCCAGGAUUUGCCUUACCAUAACAUUUGUGAUAUAAAGGAAUGUUUAAAAAAAAAAAAAACCUUCAAAAAAAAAUUUAAAAAGGUAAUUUUCUUGAUCCAAAAAUAUGUUUUUAAGUCAAUGCAGAGAAAUGUAGACUGCUGCUUGCAAAAUGUUUUCUGAUAGAUGGUCUAUCAGCUGUAUUGGUUAACACAGGCCUCUUCUGUUACUCUGUCAUUUACAUGCUGAAUUUGCCUCCAAGUCUGUUAUUUUUCCUUUUGUCUGUGCCCUGUGUUCGAAAACUUAAAGAACCGAUGCCUUCAUACUAUGAUGUUUGUUAAAGCAAAACGUUAAUAAAGCUUGUCCUGAAGAUGAGGCGAUGCCAUCUGCCUGUUUAUUCCCUCUUAACCCUGCUGAUUGGUAUUUGUGUUUAUUCCCUCCUAACCAAGGCUUGCUUCAGUUGUUGAUGUUUCAGCUUGGACCUGUGAUCACCGACGCACACAGCUGGAUCCUUGUUUAAAUUUAUUCUUCACUUGACGGCGGAGUCUUGUGAGACAUGGAUACCUUGGAGGGAAUUUUUUGGAUGACAUCAGCAAAUGAUGGGAAGACCUACAUUGCUUGAAGCCAGCCCUGAGUCCAGCUCAUCAAGCAUGCGGGAGGUCCUCGCCCCAGCAGCUGCCUUUGCUCUGAGCUGAAAUAAGCCUUGUCUCAAUGAGUUCAACAAGGUUUUGGAGAGAGUGGUGCUCAAGGAGCUUUGCAGGACUCUUGUGACACCAGGUAAAUGUGCUCAAGAAGAUCCUGGGACCACUGUGAGAUUGCAGACCCACAAGCCAAGGAGCAUCCAACAGGCAUCCUGAGCCCUGCAAGGCACAUCAUCUCUGCACCAGAAGGGGUUGAUGUUUAUUUUUGCACCAUUGGAGAGGCCAGGUGCUGAGGAGGGGGUGAUACCACCCCUCCCAGCCAAAGCACUUUGCAUGAGGAGGGGCGUUCAGUGUCCCAAGUGGUGAGUGCCCCAAGAGUGUAGAUUCAUCUAAAAUACAGGAUUUAAUCUGUAACACAGACUAUUAUAAUACAGAUGUAGUAUGUAUAGUAUGCAGUAGAUGUACUAGGUAUGACAUAUACUACUAGUAUUAGAUGAUGUCUAGUUAAUGUAUUUUAGACAGUAUAAUGUAUAUUAUUAUGUGCUGUACUUAUGUCUAAUUCAAUUAAGCUGUUAACUCUAAUAGAAAAUGUGUUUUAGAUUAACCCAUUUUUAUACACUCUGUAAACAGUGCAGGUAAAGCCUGGAAUAUAAAGUAAACAUAUAACACCUUGUAUGUACAUACUAUGUAACUUAUAGCCUACAGGUACCGACUAGUAUGGAGAUAAUAUAUACCAGCUAUCUACUAAAAUACUCUAUUAUAGGGCAGAUAGUAUAGAUAAAAUAUAUACUAUGCACUGUUUUAGUCAACAUAUGAUAUGUAACAAAAUAGAGUCUACAACACACUAUACUGUUAGUGGCAUUUUGUGAAGUGUAUAUGUAACUUAGGCGCUACAUCUGUACAAAACAGAAUAGUCUAUAUUAUGUACUAUAUAAGCUCUAGCCUAUAAUACUCUGAUUUGUGAACUAUUCCUAUAUGAAAUGUAGGCGUUCCUGCUUUAGCAGGGGAGUUGGACCAGAUGAUCUCUAGAGGUCCCUUCCAACUCAGACAAUUGUGUAUUGGUAUUGUGCUAUAUAGUAAUUACAUCAUCAUACUAAGUUGUCUCUGUACACAGUGUCAAUAGCAAGGUACAAGACAUGACAUUACAGAGAACAGGUAAUAUGAUUAUAUAUAAUAAAUUAUAUGUAAAUAUGUCAAA